Molecule: transfer-messenger RNA, 355 nt
Filed under: Petrotogaceae
Lineage: Bacteria; Thermotogati; Thermotogota; Thermotogae; Petrotogales
Also listed under: 1 other name
Description: JACKPH01 sp024233675 Standard tmRNA
Rfam family: transfer-messenger RNA
About the family: Bacterial tmRNA, also known as 10Sa RNA or SsrA, is named for its dual tRNA and mRNA-like properties. Its role is to liberate the mRNA from a stalled ribosome. To accomplish this part of the tmRNA is used as a reading frame that ends in a translation stop signal.
Source: RNAcentral
GGGGGCGUUCCGGUUUCGACGGGAAUGUUCCGAGCAGAGAAGCGAGCCGAGGCGGUUGGCCCUCGUUAAUCACCUGACACAAAAGAUAAAUGCAGAAAACAAUUACGCUUUAGCUGCUUAAUAAUUAAGUAGCCGAUCUCCUAAGACUCUGAUACCCGGCCUUUGGAAGAUCGUCAUUUUAGGGAAUCUAAGGCAGUUUUUUCUCCGGUGAAAAACAGCUGAAAUAACAGCCGGAUAGAAAAAUAUGGCUUCGCCCGGGUAGCAGUAUUUUUCAAAAAUUAAACCCAGGAUGCGCUCGGAGAUGCUCUGUAAGGGAUGUUUUCGGACGCGAGUUCGACUCUCGCCGUCUCCACCA